AGGAGCUGCUGCAGAAGGAAGAAGAAGAAGCGGCGUGGGGACCUGGGAGGCAGGAGCAAGCAAGAAGAGGAAGCGGAAGCGUGCAGAUGCGGGGGGGAAGGAGAGAGGCUCCCUGGGCAAAGCACCUGUCCCGUUAGCAGGGGCACAGUCACGUUUGAGUUGAGAGCUGCCGGCGCCUUUGGUGACCAGGCUGGCGUUGUGCUGGGCGACCUCCCCGUAAGCGGGGCUCGGGUCUUUGCUGUAGUUGGCCUUUUGCCUUGCUGCUCCUUUGGCUGCCUGGGGAGCGUGGCCCCCUGUAACGGAGGGCGAGAGCCACCUCUCCGCACCUGAGUGGGAAAUGGAGCUCGCCGGACCCCAAGGCCACCCUGUAAGCAGGGUAGUGCCGUUUCCCUGCCCCUCUUCCUCCCCCGGCCCCUUGGCAUCGUUGCCUGAUGGUGGCUUGUCAACGCGACGGCCCCGUACUCGGGGUGUGCGUCACGGCAUUUGGCCGUUGGCUUUACCUGAGAAGCCCCUUGGCACGUUGAGGUCUGUGGCCUCCGUGCAGCCUAGGGACAGGUCACAGGCUCUUGUCUGUUGCCCGUGGUUGUGGGUUUAUUCCCAGGUGUUGGCUGUGCUGCGUUGUCCUUCCCUUCUGGAAAGUCGUGCCUGUGUGUGCGUGUUCCCCUUCCUUUCCUUGUUUGUGUUUGUGGAGUGGUUGAGCGGCUGUGCUUUCCCUUUAGGCCUCCACAAAAGAUGGCUGCAGCUUAGCUUUGACUUCCCAGGGGGGAAUGGAGGACUUUGGUGCAUGCCGCAAAAGGGGUGUUCCCUCUUAGUCCUGCGAGCGCAGCGAGUGUCCUGUCUUCCUACUAUCUUCCUUAGUGCAGAUCAGAGCCACAUGGUAGUUCUGUGGCCAAGGCCUCCCUGUAGCCAGGGCUUGGGCCUGUCCUUGCGUGGCCCGGCCUGUCCUGCUGGUGGCGGUGACAGCCCCGUACUCGGGGUGUGUGUCCCAAGCUUCGGAGCCCUCUGUCCCUGAGCAGCCCGCCCGCCCUGUAAUCAGGUGUGGGGAGGCUGCAGCGUUGCAGCCGGCUGCUUUAGCCAUCCAGCUGGUGGGAGUGACCCCUCCCUGUCCCGUCAGAGGGUGCAGGUUGAGGUGCUGUUUGUGUGUGGGGUGACCUCCCCGCUCGGUGGGUCGAGGUAGCUCCCUGGGCUUCCAAAGACGAGACGUUGGUGAUGUUCUGCUGCUGCCGGGCGGGCCAGCCUGUAACUCAGGCGUUGGCGGGAGCCUCGUGCUCCGCGGGGCUUCUUG
This 1285-nucleotide long non-coding RNA is filed under the name Gallus gallus (chicken). Lineage: Eukaryota; Metazoa; Chordata; Aves; Galliformes; Phasianidae. The record is from RNAcentral.